CCUACGGGGGGCAGCAGUGAGGAAUAUUGGUCAAUGGGCGAGAGCCUGAACCAGCCAUCCCGCGUGCAGGAAGACGGCCCUAUGGGUUGUAAACUGCUUUUUUAUGGGAAGAAAAAGCUCUACGUGUAGGGCACUGACGGUACCAUAUGAAUAAGCAUCGGCUAACUCCGUGCCAGCAGCCGCGGUAAUACGGAGGAUGCGAGCGUUAUCCGGUUUAAUGAGGUUUAAAGGGUAAGUUGAAGGAAGAUUAGAAAUCUCACAGCUUAACUGUGAAACUGCCAUUGAUACUGGUUUUCUUGAGUAUAGUUGAAGUAGGCGGAAUGUGUAAUGUAGCGGUGAAAUGCUUAGAUAUUACACAGAACACCGAUUGCGAAGGCAGCUUACUAAGCUAUUACUGACGCUGAUGCACGAAAGCGUGGGGAGCGAACAGGAUUAGAUACCCGGGUAGUC
RNAcentral lists this ribosomal RNA (450 nucleotides) under uncultured bacterium. Its description in RNAcentral is "partial 16S ribosomal RNA". It matches the Rfam family "Bacterial small subunit ribosomal RNA", at positions 338 to 795 of the family's 1533-position model. The record is from RNAcentral.